Molecule: ribosomal RNA, 1306 nt
Filed under: uncultured bacterium
Lineage: Bacteria
Description: bacterial SSU rRNA
Rfam family: Bacterial small subunit ribosomal RNA
Source: RNAcentral
AACGUACGCUGGCGGCACGCCUAACACAUGCAAGUCGAACGAAGUAGCAAUACUUAGUGGCAGACGGGUGAGUAACAUGUAGGUAUCUUCCCUUUGGCCUGGAAUAACACGAGGAAACUUGUGCUAAUACCGGAUAAGUCUUCACAGAGAAAGCUUUAUGCACCAUUGGAUGAGCCUGCACUUGAUUAGUUUGUUGGUAGGGUAAUGGCCUACCAAGACUGUGAUCAAUAGCUGAUUUGAGAGGAUGAUCAGCCACAUUGGGACUGAGACACGGCCCAAACUCCUACGGGAGGCAGCAGUGGGGAAUCUUGCACAAUGGAGGAAACUCUGAUGCAGCGAUGCCGCGUGAGUGAAGAAGGCCCUUGGGUUGUAAAGCUCUUUCGUCGGGGAAGAAAAUGACUGUACCCGAAUAAGAAGGUCCGGCUAACUUCGUGCCAGCAGCCGCGGUAAUACGAAGGGACCUAGCGUAGUUCGGAAUUACUGGGCUUAAAGAGUUCGUAGGUGGUUGAAAAAGUUGGUGGUGAAAUCCCAGAGCUUAACUCUGGAACUGCCAUCAAAACUUUUCAGCUAGAGUUUGAUAGAGGAAAGCAGAAUUUCUAGUGUAGAGGUGAAAUUCGUAGAUAUUAGAAAGAAUACCAAUUGCGAAGGCAGCUUUCUGGAUCAUUACUGACACUGAGGAACGAAAGCAUGGGUAGCGAAGAGGAUUAGAUACCCUCGUAGUCCAUGCCGUAAACGAUGUGUGUUAGACGUUGGAAAUUUAUUUUCAGUGUCGCAGCGAAAGCGAUAAACACACCGCCUGGGGAGUACGACCGCAAGGUUAAAACUCAAAUGAAUUGACGGGGACCCGCACAAGUAGUGGAGCAUGUGGUUUAAUUCGAAGAUACGCGCAGAACCUUACCAACACUUGACAUGUUCGUCGCGACUUUAAGAGAUUAAAGUUUUCGGUUCGGCCGGACGAAACACAGGUGCUGCAUGGCUGUCGUCAGCUCGUGUCGUGAGAUGUUGGGUUAAGUCCCGCAACGAGCGCAACCCUCACUUUUAGUUGCCAUCAUUAAGUUGGGCACUCUGAAAGAACUGCCAGUGAUAAGCUGGAGGAAGGUGGGGAUGACGUCAAGUCCUCAUGGCCCUUACGUGUUGGGCUACACACGUGCUACAAUGGUAUCUACAACAGGAAGCAAGACGGCGACGUUAAGCAAAUCCUUAAAAGAUACCUCAGUUCGGAUUGCACUCUGCAACUCGAGUGCAUGAAGCUGGAAUUACUAGUAAUCGUGGAUCAGCGUGCCACGGUGAAUGCGUUCCCGGGUCU